UACAGAGGGGGCAAGCGUUGUUCGGAAUUACUGGGCGUAAAGGGCGCGUAGGCGGCCCGCUAAGUCGAACGUGAAAUCCCCGAGCUCAACUCGGGAACUGCGUCCGAUACUGGCGGGCUUGAAUCCGGGAGAGGGAUGCGGAAUUCCAGGUGUAGCGGUGAAAUGCGUAGAUAUCUGGAGGAACACCGGUGGCGAAGGCGGCAUCCUGGACCAAUUCUGACGCUGAGUGAGCGAAAGCCAGGGGAGCAAACGGG
RNAcentral lists this ribosomal RNA (254 nucleotides) under uncultured bacterium. Its description in RNAcentral is "partial 16S ribosomal RNA". It matches the Rfam family "Bacterial small subunit ribosomal RNA", at positions 524 to 776 of the family's 1533-position model. The record is from RNAcentral.